This 253-nucleotide ribosomal RNA is filed under the name uncultured bacterium. RNAcentral describes it as "partial 16S ribosomal RNA". It matches the Rfam family "Bacterial small subunit ribosomal RNA", at positions 524 to 776 of the family's 1533-position model. The record is from RNAcentral.
UACGGGGGGGGCAAGCGUUGUUCGGAAUCACUGGGCUUAAAGGGCGCGUAGGCGGGUUGUCAAGUCCGGGGUGAAAGCCCCCAGCUCAACUGGGGAAGUGCCUUGGAUACUGGGAACCUCGAGGGAGGUAGGGGCGUGCGGAACUUCCGGUGGAGCGGUGAAAUGCGUAGAUAUCGGAAGGAACACCGGUGGCGAAAGCGGCGCGCUGGACCUCUUCUGACGCUGAGGCGCGAAAGCCAGGGGAGCAAACGGG